AGCGAACGCUGGCGGCAUGCUUAACACAUGCAAGUCUCACGGGCAGCAAUGUCAGUGGCGGACGGGUGAGUAACGCGUAGGUAUCUAUCCUUGGGUGGGGGACAACCGUGGGAAACUACGGCUAAUACCGCAUGACGACUGAGGUCUAAAGCAGUGAUGCGCCUGAGGAGGAGCCUGCGUACGAUUAGCUAGUUGGUGGGGUAAAGGCCUACCAAGGCUGUGAUCGUUAGCUGGUCUGAGAGGAUGAUCAGCCACACUGGGACUGAGACACGGCCCAGACUCCUACGGGAGGCAGCAGUGGGGAAUAUUGGACAAUGGGCGCAAGCCUGAUCCAGCAAUGCCGCGUGUGUGAAGAAGGUUUUCGGAUUGUAAAGCACUUUCGGCGGGGACGAUGAUGACGGUACCCGCAGAAGAAGCCCCGGCUAACUUCGUGCCAGCCGCCGCCGUAACAC
This 452-nucleotide ribosomal RNA is filed under the name uncultured bacterium. RNAcentral describes it as "bacterial SSU rRNA". It matches the Rfam family "Bacterial small subunit ribosomal RNA", at positions 29 to 526 of the family's 1533-position model. The record is from RNAcentral.